AAAAGAAACAGAGAGGGGGAGAGAGUAUUCAUGCUAAAUGGUGAAACUGGAAAUGAAAGACGGAUUGAAAAUGCCCGUUUCCAUCUGCGUCUGGACUGGAGACGUGCACAGGGAAAAGAGAAGGAGAUGCCCAUGCAAAGGGCCUGGCUGACCCCACUGCACAGAAAUACUGCUCUGCUCUUGUUGUCAGAUUGUGGAAAAGCUACUUUCAAGUCAAGAAAGACAUCUCGGGCAAAUCCCAGCAUGCAUCUGGCCAGACAGUUAGCUAUCGAGGAGUGCACCCCAGCCUUGGGGGAGAGGACAAUCAGCUCUCGUGCUACAAGACCAAGUGCUCGUAAGGUCAAGAGCCAGGAGAAAACGUUCCACAGCGGGGAGCUGGAUUGCGCGAGCAUCACCUCCUUGCCCCCUGGAUUAGCAGAGGUCAGUCAGUGGCACUGAGGAAGAGCCCGGCCUGAAGACCAGGCGUGCAGACUGGAUCAGCAUGAGCUCAGGUCUGAGGAAGGGGGGCUGGAAAAGGCUGAACGCGUUCCCUCCCAGGACUCGGGAAUUGCGGAACUCUCUGCACCAGGGAGCAUAUGCGCUUACACACGGCAGCUUGACAAUCUCAGGGCGAUGAUUUAUACGUCUUAAGUGUAUUACUAGCCUGUCGAAAUUUGUCACUUUAGAGUUUUAAUUAAAACUGUUAAUCACAGAUUCCUGUUUGUUC
RNAcentral lists this long non-coding RNA (706 nucleotides) under Lepisosteus oculatus (spotted gar). RNAcentral describes it as "lncRNA (ENSLOCG00000022866.1)". Lineage: Eukaryota; Metazoa; Chordata; Actinopteri; Semionotiformes; Lepisosteidae. The record is from RNAcentral.